GGGUUGUGAGGUUAAGCGACUAAGCGUACACGGUGGAUGCCCUGGCAGUCAGAGGCGAUGAAGGACGUGCUAAUCUGCGAUAAGCGUCGGUGAGGUGAUAUGAACCGUUAUAACCGGCGAUUUCCGAAUGGGGAAACCCAGUGUGUUUCGACACACUAUCAUUAACUGAAUCCAUAGGUUAAUGAGGCGAACCGGGGGAACUGAAACAUCUAAGUACCCCGAGGAAAAGAAAUCAACCGAGAUUCCCCCAGUAGCGGCGAGCGAACGGGGAGGAGCCCAGAGCCUGAAUCAGUGUGUGUGUUAGUGGAAGCGUCUGGAAAGGCGUGCGAUACAGGGUGACAGCCCCGUACACAAAAAUGCACAUAUUGUGAGCUCGAUGAGUAGGGCGGGACACGUGGUAUCCUGUCUGAAUAUGGGGGGACCAUCCUCCAAGGCUAAAUACUCCUGACUGACCGAUAGUGAACCAGUACCGUGAGGGAAAGGCGAAAAGAACCCCGGCGAGGGGAGUGAAAAAGAACCUGAAACCGUGUACGUACAAGCAG
RNAcentral lists this ribosomal RNA (542 nucleotides) under Escherichia coli. Its description in RNAcentral is "partial 23S ribosomal RNA". It matches the Rfam family "Bacterial large subunit ribosomal RNA", at positions 1 to 573 of the family's 2925-position model. The record is from RNAcentral. Lineage: Bacteria; Pseudomonadati; Pseudomonadota; Gammaproteobacteria; Enterobacterales; Enterobacteriaceae.